AGGAUGAACGCUGGCGGCGUGCUUAACACAUGCAAGUCACGGGGGUUUGAGGCGCAAGCCUUGAGCAACCGGCGAACGGGUGCGUAACACGUGAGCAACCUACCGAAAUGAGGGGGAUAGCCGGCCUAACGGCCGGGUAAUACCGCAUAAGCUCAGGACCAGGCAUUUGGAUCUGAGGAAACCUCCGGGGCGUUUCGAGGGGCUCGCGGCCUAUCAGCUAGUUGGCGAGGCAAUGGCUCACCAAGGCGACGACGGGUAGCUGGUCUGAGAGGAUGGCCAGGCCACAGUUGGGACUGGAGACUACCGGACCCAGACUCCGUACGGGAGGCAGCGAGUGGGGAAUCUUGCGCAAGUCGGCCUAACGGCUAGACCGCGAAGCCGACGCCGGCGUAGGAGGGACUGACGUCGUCGUUCCGGAGUUGUUAAACC
RNAcentral lists this ribosomal RNA (429 nucleotides) under uncultured soil bacterium. Its description in RNAcentral is "bacterial SSU rRNA". It matches the Rfam family "Bacterial small subunit ribosomal RNA", at positions 26 to 432 of the family's 1533-position model. The record is from RNAcentral.